ACACUGUUGAGGUGUCCCAAAAUAGGACGAAACGGUCGUCCAGUGC
Molecule: non-coding RNA, 46 nt
Organism: Schistosoma haematobium
Lineage: Eukaryota; Metazoa; Platyhelminthes; Trematoda; Strigeidida; Schistosomatidae
Source: Rfam